GGGCGGUCUCCUCCCAAAGCGUAACGGAGGAGCACGAAGGUUAGCUAAUCCUGGUCGGACAUCAGGAGGUUAGUGCAAUGGCAUAAGCUAGCUUGACUGCGAGCGUGACGGCGCGAGCAGGUGCGAAAGCAGGUCAUAGUGAUCCGGUGGUUCUGAAUGGAAGGGCCAUCGCUCAACGGAUAAAAGGUACUCCGGGGAUAACAGGCUGAUACCGCCCAAGAGUUCAUAUCGACGGCG
RNAcentral lists this ribosomal RNA (237 nucleotides) under Klebsiella pneumoniae. Its description in RNAcentral is "partial 23S ribosomal RNA". It matches the Rfam family "Bacterial large subunit ribosomal RNA", at positions 2277 to 2513 of the family's 2925-position model. The record is from RNAcentral. Lineage: Bacteria; Pseudomonadati; Pseudomonadota; Gammaproteobacteria; Enterobacterales; Enterobacteriaceae.